Molecule: small RNA, 34 nt
Filed under: uncultured Bacteroides sp.
Lineage: Bacteria; Pseudomonadati; Bacteroidota; Bacteroidia; Bacteroidales; Bacteroidaceae
Description: abiF RNA
Rfam family: abiF RNA (bases 4-31)
Source: RNAcentral
CUCCCAAGCCUCUCAACAAUGCUCAAAUCGGAGG